AGAGUUUGAUCCUGGCUCAGAAUGAACGCUGGCAGCAUGGAUUAGGCAUGCAAGUCGAACGAGAAUCCGGGCUUCGGCCCGGAGGAGAGUGGCGCAAGGGUGAGUAACACGUGAGUAAUCUGCCCCGAAGUCUGGGAUAGCCCAUGGAAACGUGGAUUAAUACCGGAUGUGGCUGUAUGAACUGCGGUUCUAACAGUUAAAGAUUCAUCGCUUCGGGAUGAGCUCGCGGUCCAUCAGCUUGUUGGUGAGGUAACGGCUCACCAAGGCGACGACGGAUAGCUGGUCUGAGAGGAUGACCAGUCACACUGGGACUGAAACACUGCCCAGACUCCUACGGGAGGCUGCAGUCGAGAAUCUUCCGCAAUGGGCGCAAGCCUGACGGAGCGAUGCUGCGUGCCGGACGAAGGCCUUCGGGUCGUAAACGGCUGUCACUCGGGACGAAUUUUGACGGUACCGAGAGAGGAAGCCACGGCUAACUACGUGCCAGCAGCCGCGGUAAUACGUAGGUGGCGAGCGUUAUUCGGAAUUAUUGGGCCUAGAGGGUUCGUAAGGGGUAAUGUAAGUCCGGUGUGAAAUCUCGAGGCUCAACCUCGAAGCUGCAUUGAAACUGCAUUACUUGAGUGUCAGAGAGGAAGCGGAAAUCCUGGUGUAGCGGUGGAAUGCGUANAUAUCAGGAAAGACACCGACGGCGAAGGCAGCUUUCUGGCUGGGCACUGACCCUGAUGAACGAAAGCUAGGGUAGCGAACAGGAUUAGAUACCCUGGUAGUCCUAGCUGUGAACGUUGUGCACUGGAUGUGGGCCGAAUUGGUCCCGUCUGUGUCUGAGCGAAGGCGUUAAGUGCACNGCUGGGGACUACGGCCGCAAGGCUAAAACUCAAAGGAAUUGACGGGGGCCCGCACAAGCGUGGGAGCAUGUGGCUCAAUUCGAGGCAACGCGAAGAACCUUACCUGGGUUUGACAUAUACCUGACCGCCGGUGAGAGCCGGUUUCUCUUUGAGCAGGUAUACAGGUGCUGCAUGGCUGUCGACAGCUCGUGCUGUGAAGUGUUCGGUUAAGUCCGGCAACGAGCGCAACCCACGCUGUUAGUUACCAUCAGGUAAUGCUGGGGACUCUAACAGGACUGCCCGUGCUAAGCGGGAGGAAGGCGUGGACGACGUCAAGUCCGCAUGGCCCUUACGCCCAGGGCUGCACACGUGCUACAAUGGCCGGUACAGAGGGUCGCCACUCUGCGAAGAGGAGCUAAUCCCGAAAACCGGCCCCAGUUCGGAUUGGAGUCUGCAACCCGACUCCAUGAAGUAGGAAUCGCUAGUAAAGGCGUAUCAGCAACGGCGCCUUGAAUCUGUUCCCGGGCCUUGUACACACCGCCCGUCACAUCAUGGAAGCCGGCUGCACCCGAAGUCGCUAUCCGUUUUACGGAGGCGCCGAAGGUGUGGCUGGUAACUGGGAUGAAGUCGUAACAAGG
Molecule: ribosomal RNA, 1462 nt
Filed under: uncultured organism
Description: bacterial SSU rRNA
Rfam family: Bacterial small subunit ribosomal RNA
Source: RNAcentral